CGGGACGGGUGAGUAAUGCUUGGGAAUCUAGCUUAUGGAGGGGGAUAACUACGGGAAACUGUAGCUAAUACCGCGUAGUAUCGGAAGAUGAAAGUGUGGGACCUUCGGGCCACAUGCCAUAGGAUGAGCCCAAGUGGGGUUAGGUAGUUGGUGAGGUAAAGGCUCACCAAGCCGACGAUCUCUAGCUGGUCUGAGAGGAUGACCAGCCACACUGGGACUGAGACACGGCCCAG
This 233-nucleotide ribosomal RNA is filed under the name uncultured bacterium. RNAcentral describes it as "partial 16S ribosomal RNA". It matches the Rfam family "Bacterial small subunit ribosomal RNA", at positions 100 to 334 of the family's 1533-position model. The record is from RNAcentral.